RNAcentral lists this ribosomal RNA (686 nucleotides) under Tarzetta sp. RNAcentral describes it as "partial large subunit ribosomal RNA". It matches the Rfam family "Eukaryotic large subunit ribosomal RNA", at positions 70 to 777 of the family's 3401-position model. The record is from RNAcentral. Lineage: Eukaryota; Fungi; Ascomycota; Pezizomycetes; Pezizales; Tarzettaceae.
AAGGGAUGCCUUAGUACUGCGAGUGAGCGGCAGAAGCUCAAAUUUGAAAUCUGCGUCCCUCGGGGCGCCGAGUUGUAAUCUUGAGAUGCGUUUUCGACCGACAGGCCUGCCUUAAGUCCCUUGGAACAGGGCGUCACAGAGGGUGAGAAUCCCGUGAACGGUAGGCCUCGAGGCGUAUGAUACGUAUUCAACGAGUCGAGUUGUUUGGGAAUGCAGCUCAAAAUGGGUGGUAAAUUUCAUCUAAAGCUAAAUAUUGGGGAGAGACCGAUAGCGCACAAGUAGAGUGAUCGAAAGAUGAAAAGAACUUUGAAAAGAGAGUUAAAAAGUACGUGAAAUUGUUGAAAGGGAAGCGCUUGAGACCAGACUCAUUCGCCGUCGAUCAACUCCAGUUCUCUGGCGUGCACUCGGCGGUGAUUGGGACAGCAUCGGUUCCCACGGAGGGAAAAAGCCCCGGGAAAUGUGGCACCCUUCCGGGUGUGUUAUAGACCUGCGGGCAAUGCCUCCAGCGGGGACCGAGGACCGCGCUCCGGCUAGGAUGCUGUCAUAAUGGCCUUCAGCGACCCGUCUUGAAACACGGACCAAGGAGUCUAACAUCUAUGCGAGUGUUCGGGUGGAAAACCCUUGCGCGUAAUGAAGGUGAACGGAGGUGGGAAUCGCAAGACGCACCAUCGACCGAAUCCCGAUGA